AGCGGAUACAUGGGAUCAACGUCCUGGAUCAGAGGAAUCAUAAUCCUUGUGUCGGGAGUUCAAAUCUCUCCCUCGCUACCA
This 81-nucleotide transfer RNA is filed under the name Methylobacterium sp. Leaf86. RNAcentral describes it as "tRNA-Met". The record is from RNAcentral. Lineage: Bacteria; Pseudomonadati; Pseudomonadota; Alphaproteobacteria; Hyphomicrobiales; Methylobacteriaceae.